AUGAACGCUGGCGGCGUGCCUAAUACAUGCAAGUCGAGCGAACGGACGAGAAGCUUGCUUUUCUGAUGUUAGCGGCGGACGGGUGAGUAACACGUGGAUAACCUACCUAUAAGUCUGGGAUAACUUCGGGAAACCGGAGCUAAUACCGGAUAAUAUUUUGAACCGCAUGGUUCAAAAGUGAAAGACGGUCUUGCUGUCACUUAUAGAUGGAUCCGCGCUGCAUUAGCUAGUUGGUAAGGUAACGGCUUACCAAGGCAACGAUGCAUAGCCGACCUGAGAGGGUGAUCGGCCACACUGGAACUGAGACACGGUCCAGACUCCUACGGGAGGCAGCAGUAGGGAAUCUUCCGCAAUGGGCGAAAGCCUGACGGAGCAACGCCGCGUGAGUGAUGAAGGUCUUCGGAUCGUAAAACUCUGUUAUUAGGGAAGAACAUAUGUGUAAGUAACUGUGCACAUCUUGACGGUACCUAAUCAGAAAGCCACGGCUAACUACGUG
Molecule: ribosomal RNA, 496 nt
Filed under: uncultured bacterium
Lineage: Bacteria
Description: partial 16S ribosomal RNA
Rfam family: Bacterial small subunit ribosomal RNA
Source: RNAcentral